This is a long non-coding RNA of Protopterus annectens (West African lungfish), 553 nucleotides long. RefSeq lists it as uncharacterized. The transcript is spliced from 3 exons. NCBI's taxonomy places the organism in Eukaryota, Metazoa, Chordata, Ceratodontiformes, Protopteridae. The record is from RefSeq and is a predicted model, not a curated record.
UCCAACUCUUGACUUUCAUUCCAUUACCCCACACUACCUAUUAGUCUUUCUUAUACCUAUACAUCUACCAACUUUCACCUCCACUAUCCCAAACCUCAUCCCACAAUCCUGUAAUGGGAUAUUCUCUAGCUUUCAAACUCCUCCCUAUGGCUUAUUACUAGGGUCACUCCCCUAUUCUCCCUACCCCUCAUCUAACUAUAACUUAUAAAUACAACCCCCUGCCCAUUGACGCCAUCUUUCUUCCCCUGGUAUUGUUGGCUGUUGGAUAACUGGAGAUAAGGAGCCUAUCCCGGGACUAGUGGUCUCCUGUGUAACUAAAGCACAGCUUCCUUUCCUGCCUUCCACUCUUCUGGGAACAAAAGAACCUCAAACCUGAGCUCAUAUCUUGUGCUUUCAAGAGGCACCGACUCACUUUGAGAAUUAAAAGUGGUCUCCUGUGUAACUAAAGCACAGCUUCCUUUCCUGCCUUCCACUCUUCUGGGAACAAAAGAACCUCAAACCUGAGCUCAUAUCUUGUGCUUUCAAGAGGCACCGACUCACUUUGAGAAUUAAA